ACCCUACGGGACGCAGCAGUGGGGGAUAUUGCACAAUGGGGGGAACCCUGAUGCAGCGACGCCGCGUGGGUGAAGAAGCGCCUCGGCGCGUAAAGCCCUGUCAGCAGGGAAGAAAAUGACGGUACCUGAAGAAGAAGCCCCGGCUAACUACGUGCCAGCAGCCGCGGUAAUACGUAGGGGGCAAGCGUUGUCCGGAAUUACUGGGUGUAACGGGAGCGUAGGCGGGGAUGCAAGUUGGGGGUCAAAACUAU
RNAcentral lists this ribosomal RNA (251 nucleotides) under uncultured bacterium. Its description in RNAcentral is "partial 16S ribosomal RNA". It matches the Rfam family "Bacterial small subunit ribosomal RNA", at positions 335 to 604 of the family's 1533-position model. The record is from RNAcentral.